This 253-nucleotide ribosomal RNA is filed under the name uncultured bacterium. Its description in RNAcentral is "partial 16S ribosomal RNA". It matches the Rfam family "Bacterial small subunit ribosomal RNA", at positions 524 to 776 of the family's 1533-position model. The record is from RNAcentral.
UACGAAGGGGGCUAGCGUUGUUCGGAAUUACUGGGCGUAAAGCGCGUGUAGGCGGGUCUUUUAGUCAGGGGUGAAAUGCCAAGGCUCAACCUUGGAACUGCCUUUGAUACUGGAGACCUUGAGUCCGGGAGAGGUGAGUGGAAUUGCGAGUGUAGAGGUGAAAUUCGUAGAUAUUCGCAAGAACACCAGUGGCGAAGGCGGCUCACUGGCCCGGAACUGACGCUGAGACGCGAAAGCGUGGGGAGCAAACAGG